GGCCUAUUAGGUCUCGUAAUUGGAAUGAGAACAAUUUAAAUACCUUAACGAGGAACAAUUAGAGGGCAAGUCUGGUGCCAGCAGCCGCGGUAAUUCCAGCUCUGAUAGUAUAUAUUAAAGUUGUUGCAGUUAAAAAGCUCGUAGUUGAAACUUGGGUGCGUAGGGGCGGUCUCUUUUAGAGUACUACCCUGAAACAUCUUUCUUUGGUGUAAACUUUCUAUUUAUUUAGGAAGUGUAAACCAAACAUUUACUUUGAAAAAAUUAGAGUGUUCAAAGCAGGCCUUUGCUCGAAUAUAUUAGCAUGGAAUAAUAGAAUAGGACGUAUGGUUCUAUUUUGUUGGUUUCUAGGACCGUCGUAAUGAUUAAUAGGGACGGUCGGGGGCAUCAGUAUUCAGUUGUCAGAGGUGAAAUUCUUGGAUUUACUGAAGACUAACUACUGCGAAAGCAUUUGCCAAGGACGUUUUCAUUAAUCAAGAACGAAAGUUAGGGGAUCGAAGACGAUCAGAUACCGUCGUAGUCUUAACCGUAAACUAUGCCGACUAGGGAUCGGAGGGCGUUAUAAUAACCUCUCCGGCACCUUACGAGAAAUCAAAGUUUUUGGGUUCUGGGGGGAGUAUGGUUGCAAGGCUGAAACUUAAAGGAAUUGACGGAAGGGCACCACCAGGAGUGGAGCCUGCGGCUUAAUUUGACACAACACGGGGAAACUCACCAGGUCCAGACACAAUAAGGAUUGACAGAUUGAGAGCUCUUCCAUGAUUUUGUGGGUGGUGGUGCAUGGCCGUUCUUAGUUGGUGGAGUGAUUUGUCUGCUUAAUUGCGAUAACGAACGAGACCUUAACCUGCUAAAUAGCUGUAACAAUAGAUUAUUGUUUUGACAGCUUCUUAGAGGGACUAUCGAUUUUCAAGUCGAUGGAAGUUUGAGGCAAUAACAGGUCUGUGAUGCCCUUAGACGUUCUGGGCCGCACGCGCGCUACACUGACGGAGCCAGCGAGUCUAACCUGUGCCGAGAGGUAUGGGUAAUCUUGUGAAACUCCGUCGUGCUGGGGAUAGAGCAUUGCAAUUAUUGCUCUUCAACGAGGAAUUCCUAGUAAGCGCAAGUCAUCAGCUUGCGUUGAUUACGUCCCUGCCCUUUGUACACACCGCCCGUCGCUACUACCGAUUGAAUGGCUUAGUGAGGCUUCCGGAUUGAUUAACUGGAGAGGGCAACUUUUCUGGUUGAACGAGAAGCUAGUCAAACUUGGUCAUUUAGA
This 1249-nucleotide ribosomal RNA is filed under the name metagenome. RNAcentral describes it as "SSU rRNA". It matches the Rfam family "Eukaryotic small subunit ribosomal RNA", at positions 489 to 1777 of the family's 1831-position model. The record is from RNAcentral.